Molecule: ribosomal RNA, 1406 nt
Filed under: Marinobacter sp.
Lineage: Bacteria; Pseudomonadati; Pseudomonadota; Gammaproteobacteria; Pseudomonadales; Marinobacteraceae
Description: bacterial SSU rRNA
Rfam family: Bacterial small subunit ribosomal RNA
Source: RNAcentral
AGUCGAGCGGUAACAGGGGGUGCUUGCACCCCGCUGACGAGCGGCGGACGGGUGAGUAAUGCAUAGGAAUCUGCCCAGUAGUUGGGGAUAGCCCGGGGAAACCCGGAUUAAUACCGAAUACGCCCUACGGGGGAAAGCAGGGGAUCUUCGGACCUUGCGCUAUUGGAUGAGCCUAUGUCGGAUUAGCUAGUUGGUGGGGUAACGGCCUACCAAGGCGACGAUCCGUAGCUGGUCUGAGAGGAUGAUCAGCCACAUCGGGACUGAGACACGGCCCGAACUCCUACGGGAGGCAGCAGUGGGGAAUAUUGGACAAUGGGGGCAACCCUGAUCCAGCCAUGCCGCGUGUGUGAAGAAGGCUUUCGGGUUGUAAAGCACUUUCAGUGAGGAGGAAAACCUUAUGGCUAAUAUCCUUGAGGCUUGACGUUACUCACAGAAGAAGCACCGGCUAACUCCGUGCCAGCAGCCGCGGUAAUACGGAGGGUGCAAGCGUUAAUCGGAAUUACUGGGCGUAAAGCGCGCGUAGGUGGUUAGGUAAGCGAGAUGUGAAAGCCCCGGGCUUAACCUGGGAACGGCAUUUCGAACUGUCUGACUAGAGUAUGGUAGAGGGUAGUGGAAUUUCCUGUGUAGCGGUGAAAUGCGUAGAUAUAGGAAGGAACACCAGUGGCGAAGGCGGCUACCUGGACCAAUACUGACACUGAGGUGCGAAAGCGUGGGGAGCAAACAGGAUUAGAUACCCUGGUAGUCCACGCCGUAAACGAUGUCAACUAGCCGUUGGGGAUCUUGAAUCCUUAGUGGCGCAGCUAACGCACUAAGUUGACCGCCUGGGGAGUACGGCCGCAAGGUUAAAACUCAAAUGAAUUGACGGGGGCCCGCACAAGCGGUGGAGCAUGUGGUUUAAUUCGACGCAACGCGAAGAACCUUACCUGGCCUUGACAUCCUGCGAACUUUCUAGAGAUAGAUUGGUGCCUUCGGGAACGCAGUGACAGGUGCUGCAUGGCCGUCGUCAGCUCGUGUCGUGAGAUGUUGGGUUAAGUCCCGUAACGAGCGCAACCCCUAUCCCUAGUUGCUAGCAGUUCGGCUGAGAACUCUAGGGAGACUGCCGGUGACAAACCGGAGGAAGGUGGGGAUGACGUCAGGUCAUCAUGGCCCUUACGGCCAGGGCUACACACGUGCUACAAUGGCGCGCACAGAGGGCUGCAAACUCGCGAGAGUAAGCCAAUCUCUUAAAACGCGUCGUAGUCCGGAUCGCAGUCUGCAACUCGACUGCGUGAAGUCGGAAUCGCUAGUAAUCGCGAAUCAGAAUGUCGCGGUGAAUACGUUCCCGGGCCUUGUACACACCGCCCGUCACACCAUGGGAGUGGAUUGCACCAGAAGUGGUUAGUCUAACCUUCGGGAGGACGAUCACC